CCUACGGGGGGCUGCAGUAAGGAAUAUUGGUCAAUGGAGGAAACUCUGAACCAGCCAUCCCGCGUGAAGGAUGAAGGGGCUCUGCCUUGUAAACUUCUUUUGUCUGGUGCGAAAAAGCUCGAUUUAUCGAGAACUGACGGUACCAGAAGAAUAAGCACCGGCUAACUCCGUGCCAGCAGCCGCGGUAAUACGGAGGGUGCCAGCGUUAUCCGGAAUAAAUGGUGUGAAGGGGUGCGUAGGAGUCAUUGUUGAAAUGCUGUGGCUUAACCAUGGAAUUGCCAUUGAUACUGCAGAGCUUGAAUGAGGUUGAGGUUGGCGGAAUGUGACAUGUAGCGGUGAAAUGCUUAGAUAUGUCAUGGAACACCGAUUGCGAAGGCAGCUGACUGGACCUAUAUUGACGCUGAGGCACGAAAGCGUGGGGAGCGAACAGGAUUAGAUACCCCAGUAGUC
RNAcentral lists this ribosomal RNA (450 nucleotides) under uncultured bacterium. Its description in RNAcentral is "partial 16S ribosomal RNA". It matches the Rfam family "Bacterial small subunit ribosomal RNA", at positions 338 to 795 of the family's 1533-position model. The record is from RNAcentral.